Molecule: ribosomal RNA, 681 nt
Filed under: uncultured bacterium
Lineage: Bacteria
Description: bacterial SSU rRNA
Rfam family: Bacterial small subunit ribosomal RNA
Source: RNAcentral
CGGAUCCGAGCGGUUCGAGAGAUAUCCCACUGACUGGACCGCCCAGUCCUACGGAGCACCAUUGGAAUUGACCAUGGGCACCCUGAUCCCAGCCCAUGCCGCUGAGUGAGAUGCCUCGGGUUGUAAGCUCUUUCGGCUGGGAAGAAAUCGCAUCUCCUAAUACGGGGUUGUGGAUGACGUACCAGCAUAGAAGCACCGGCUACUACGUGCCAGCAGCCGCGGUAUACGUAGGGUGCGAGCGUAAUCGGAAUACUGGGCGUAAAGCGUGCGCAGGCGGUUUCGUAAGACAGAGGUGAAAUCCCCGGGCUCAACCUGGGAACUGCCUUUGUGACUGCGAGGCUAGAGUAUGGCAGAGGGGGGUGGAAUUUCCACGUGUAGCAGUGAAAUGCGUAGAGAUGUGGAGGAACACCGAUGGCGAAGGCAGCCCCCUGGGCCAAUACUGACGCUCAUGCACGAAAGCGUGGGGAGCAAACAGGAUUAGAUACCCUGGUAGUCCACGCCCUAAACGAUGUCAACUAGGUGUUGGGUGGGUUAAACCAUUUAGUACCGUAGCUAACGCGUGAAGUUGACCGCCUGGGGAGUACGGCCGCAAGGUUAAAACUCAAAGGAAUUGACGGGGACCCGCACAAGCGGUGGAUGAUGUGGAUUAAUUCGAUGCAACGCGAAAAACCUUACCUACCC